GUGGGGAAUAUUGGACAAUGGGCGAAAGCCUGAUCCAGCAAUGCCGCGUGAGUGAUGAAGGCCUUAGGGUUGUAAAGCUCUUUUACCAGGGAUGAUAAUGACAGUACCUGGAGAAUAAGCUCCGGCUAACUCCGUGCCAGCAGCCGCGGUAAUACGGAGGGAGCUAGCGUUGUUCGGAAUUACUGGGCGUAAAGCGCGCGUAGGCGGUUUAUCAAGUCAGGGGUGAAAUCCCGGGGCUCAACCCCGGAACUGCCCUUGAAACUGGUUCACUAGAAUCCUGGAGAGGCGAGUGGAAUUCCGAGUGUAGAGGUGAAAUUCGUAGAUAUUCGGAAGAACACCAGUGGCGAAGGCGACUCGCUGGACAGGUAUUGACGCUGAGGUGCGAAAGCGUGGGGAGCAAACAGGAUUAGAAACCCUUGUAGUCC
RNAcentral lists this ribosomal RNA (425 nucleotides) under uncultured bacterium. Its description in RNAcentral is "bacterial SSU rRNA". It matches the Rfam family "Bacterial small subunit ribosomal RNA", at positions 354 to 796 of the family's 1533-position model. The record is from RNAcentral.